RNAcentral lists this ribosomal RNA (709 nucleotides) under uncultured bacterium. Its description in RNAcentral is "bacterial SSU rRNA". It matches the Rfam family "Bacterial small subunit ribosomal RNA", at positions 59 to 769 of the family's 1533-position model. The record is from RNAcentral.
CAGUCGACGGUGAAGGAGAGCUUGCUCUUUGGAUCAGUGGCGAACGGGUGAGUAACACGUGAGCAAUCUGCCCUUGACUCUGGGAUAACUGCGGGAAACUGUAGCUAAUACCGGAUACGACCUGGAGAGGCAUCUUUUUGGGUGGAAAGAAUUUUGGUCAAGGAUGAGCUCGCGGCCUAUCAGCUUGUUGGUGAGGUAAUGGCUCACCAAGGCGACGACGGGUAGCCGGCCUGAGAGGGUGACCGGCCACACUGGGACUGAGACACGGCCCAGACUCCUACGGGAGGCAGCAGUGGGGAAUAUUGCACAAUGGGCGCAAGCCUGAUGCAGCAACGCCGCGUGAGGGACGAAGGCCUUCGGGUUGUAAACCUCUUUUAGUAGGGAAGAAGCGACUGGGUUUUCCUGGGAGUGACGGUACCUGCAGAAAAAGCACCGGCUAACUACGUGCCAGCAGCCGCGGUAAUACGUAGGGUGCAAGCGUUGUCCGGAAUUAUUGGGCGUAAAGAGCUCGUAGGCGGUUUGUCGCGUCUGCUGUGAAAACCCGAGGCUCAACCUCGGGCCUGCAGUGGGUACGGGCAGACUAGAGUGCGGUAGGGGAGAUUGGAAUUCCUGGUGUAGCGGUGGAAUGCGCAGAUAUCAGGAGGAACACCAAUGGCGAAGGCAGAUCUCUGGGCCGUAACUGACGCUGAGGAGCGAAAGCAUGGGGAGC